UGUGAGGUGAGCAAAGUUGCUGCCAAGCC
Molecule: non-coding RNA, 29 nt
Filed under: Mus musculus (house mouse)
Lineage: Eukaryota; Metazoa; Chordata; Mammalia; Rodentia; Muridae
Source: RNAcentral